AGUCGGGGGUCUGUUUGUGUUUUUCCACAGGGAGAACAGCAGCCCAUUUGGAUUCCAGAGAGAUUAACUAAAACAGUUUCUACAGAUCGAAAAGAAGAUGAUUUGACUCAAAUCCAUAACAGCUGAUAUCCAGAACUCCAGCUUGGCCAUUCUUACAUCUGCGACAGUGAUUAACCAGGAUGCUUUUUUCAAUAGCUAUUUUAUUAUUGCAUUUUUCCACAUCAUAAGGUUCUAUUUUUAUUUUUUGAGCUCAUACAAACCUAGGUUAAUGUUUUUCUGAUCAGUUUUAUUUUUUGACUGUGGAGUUUUUAAACAUUGCAAUGGAGAUUUCACCUAGGAUAAUGUCUCUUUAGCAUCAUUGCCAGAAUUCCUAUCUCCAUCUCAGUGCUGGUGAAGAACUCAACAAGUAAUGCUCAAUCAAAGAGUCAACUUACUUUGGGAGGAAACGGAUUUUGGGAGGAAAUGGACAUAUUGAUAGAUUCCUCCGCUUUGAACUGCUUGCAGAACUUGCCUGGACUAUGUAACUAUCGUUUGGUGCAGCGAAUUGUGGUAAUGCUGGCAUAUCUUUGCUGAUGGUGUCACCAGUGAUGCAAUUUUUCCCAAGGAGCCGUCAAUUGGCUUGGUGUCGUGGCAUUUCUGUAUCCUCCUCCCUUCUGCUAGUGAUGGUCUAAAAUUUGGGGGCCAAUGGCUUAUGCUG
Long non-coding RNA from Marmota monax (woodchuck), 697 nucleotides. RefSeq lists it as uncharacterized. The transcript is spliced from 2 exons. Lineage: Eukaryota; Metazoa; Chordata; Mammalia; Rodentia; Sciuridae. The record is from RefSeq and is a predicted model, not a curated record.